This 90-nucleotide transfer RNA is filed under the name Escherichia coli. Its description in RNAcentral is "tRNA-Ser(gct)". It matches the Rfam family "tRNA". Rfam says of the family: Transfer RNA (tRNA) molecules are approximately 80 nucleotides in length. Their secondary structure includes four short double-helical elements and three loops (D, anti-codon, and T loops). The record is from RNAcentral. Lineage: Bacteria; Pseudomonadati; Pseudomonadota; Gammaproteobacteria; Enterobacterales; Enterobacteriaceae. RNAcentral also lists the same sequence under 7 other names.
AGUGAGUUGGAUGAGUGGUUGAAAUCACUACCCUGCUAAGGUAGCAUAUGCGAAAGCGUAUCGUGGGUUCGAAUCCCACACUCACUGCCA